UCGAGUUUUGACUGGGUUGUAGCUGGCCUUCCGAGGCAUGUGCACGCCCUGCUCAUCCACUCUACACCUGUGCACUUACUGUGGGUUUCAGAUCGCAGAGCAAGUCUUCUAUAGGCUUGUGAACCGCCUGGACCUGCGUUUAUUACAAAUACUAUAAAGUACUAGAAUGUGUAUUGCGAUGUAACGCAUCUAUAUACAACUUUCAGCAACGGAUCUCUUGGCUCUCGCAUCGAUGAAGAACGCAGCGAAAUGCGAUAAGUAAUGUGAAUUGCAGAAUUCAGUGAAUCAUCGAAUCUUUGAACGCACCUUGCGCUCCUUGGUAUUCCGAGGAGCAUGCCUGUUUGAGUGUCGUGAAAUCUUCAACCUACAAGCCUUUGCGGGUUUGUUAGGCUUGGUUAUGGAGGUUUGUCGGCCUUGCGGUCGGCUCCUCUUAAAUGCAUUAGCUUGAUUUCUUGCGAAUCGGCUCUCGGUGUGAUAGUUGUCUACGCCGCGACCGUGAAGCAGUUUGGCAAGCUUCUAACCGUCUCAUGAGAGACAGCUUCUUGACAUCUGACCUCAAAAUCAGGUAGGACUUCCCGCUGAACUUAAGUCAUAUCA
This 597-nucleotide ribosomal RNA is filed under the name Tomophagus sp. BAB-4822. Its description in RNAcentral is "eukaryotic LSU rRNA". The stretch from base 198 to 351 matches the Rfam family "5.8S ribosomal RNA". The record is from RNAcentral. Lineage: Eukaryota; Fungi; Basidiomycota; Agaricomycetes; Polyporales; Polyporaceae.